Tribolium castaneum (red flour beetle) is the source of this 770-nucleotide long non-coding RNA. RefSeq lists it as uncharacterized. The record is from RefSeq and is a predicted model, not a curated record. NCBI's taxonomy places the organism in Eukaryota, Metazoa, Arthropoda, Insecta, Coleoptera, Tenebrionidae. The transcript is spliced from 2 exons.
CGUAAUUUAUGCUUAAAUUCGUUGUAGACUGUCAUGUUUGCUACUCAUGACAAUAUUAAAAUUAUUAUUAUUAAGGACAAUUAGCCGCAUUAGAGUAAUAAAAGUCGACAGUCGUAACACUUCCACUGGAAACUUUUCGGGAUGUCCUUUUCGAAACGGUAUCAGGAACACAUGAAGAAAAGUCGUUGUCGAGAAGGCCACUGAUUCGUGUUCGGCGUUUUAUUCAUUUAUCAGAAAGUGACAGGACAUGCUUUCCUGGCGCCAGGAAUUCUGCUCGAGCGAGGCCAAAAUUUUUGGAAAGCUCGAGUGUUUCUUAUCGCGCGGAGCGUCACGUUUGGCGAUCUUUGACGGAGGCAGGUUUUGCAUUUCACCUUCGCCAUCCAACACACACAAUCAAUCUCUCUUACAGAAUGCAAAUGAUUGAUUUAAGAUGCGUGGGUUGCACCAUAUGGACACUCCAUGCAUUCCUCGAAGCAUCGAGGCGUAAUGUCGUGAGGAUAUGACGAAAUGUGACAGCUUAUUAUAAUAAACUCGUUCGUUGUGUGUCUAAGCGAGGAAAAUAAACCGAGCGAUCACUUCCGUUACUAAUAACUUAAUACGCGUCUUCAUCGGGAGAGGAAAAACGGGAUGAUUGAGCGGUCACUAAAUGGAAACAUGGAAAUGGCUCUGGUGGCGUUUUUAAUGACUCUUAUUAUUAUCAUUACUCGUUUCGAAAGACAAUUUAUCAUCUUGUAAUAAUAACUCUCUGAUAAAAUCGAAUUAACUAUGUA